ACCUCACCUGAAUCCACUUAUUGUCUCCCUUGAGUAUCUUGUCAGAUGGUGGGAGAACAUGUUUAGUACUGACGCAUCCUCCACAUAAUCAACAGCUUAUUUAAGAUUUAUAGCUGAAAUGCCACAGUUCAUUUUGCCUUUCAUACUAAAUAGGAAAGUAUUUAAAUGAGUUCCUGUCAUAUUUCAGCAGCAAUCCAGCGGUGUGGCACAGAUUUAUUAUGGGCACUGAAAAGGUGGACCUCAUAAGGGUACAAGAAAAUAGGAACAGGAGUAGGCCAUCAGGCCCCUCAAGGCUGCCCUGCCAUUUAAUAUGAUCAUGGCUGAUUUAUGCCGGCAUCAACUCCUCUUCUGUGCCAUUUCUCCAACCUCUUUUAUUCCUUGAUUUAUCAAAUAUUUUUCCACCUCCACUUUAAAUACAUCCAAUGAUACAGCUUCCAUCUCCUGCCAGGGUGGAGAAUUCCAGAGAUUCACCACUGUCUCUGAGAAGAAAUUUUUAUAUACUUCUCACCCAUCACCCACCAGCCGCUGUCUCCGAACUCCACCUCUGCCUCUCCCCCACCUGGCUCCAUCUGUCCAUCAUUCCCCUUCAUAUCUGGCUCCACCUAUCACCCACCAGCCCCUGCCUCAUCCUUUCCUCUCACCUCUUUAUACUGGCCAUUUCCCCUCUACACUCCCAGUCCUGAUGCAGAGUCUCAACCUGAGAUGCUGACUAUGUUUCUGCCUCCACAGAUGCUUCCUGAUCAACUGAGUUCCUCCGGCAGAUUGCUUUUUACACCAGAUUACACCAUCUGCAUUGUCUGGAGUCUCCUCCCAUUUUGUUUCCAAGCUGCUGUGCUUUUCCAGAACUUUCUGCUUUUAAUUUAUAUUUUUAUCAUCUAUAGUAUUUUGACUUAGUCUGUAUGAUGCUGACAAAGAGUGCUAAUAUUUGGUCCAAGUGACACAGCUAGCUAGGGAAGGUCAAAAAGCAUUCUUCUUUCUAAAUAUUAUACACUAAUUCUUGCUUAAGAAAAAAAUGAUAUUUAUGGGUUGAUCUCCUGUGAUCAAUAUGGUUAGUGGCUUGAUGUUAAUUCAGGAGUAUCAUCUGUGGCUGAUUAUCUCUGGAGUAAUCAUGAAGAUAAAAAAUCUGUGGAACAUAAAACAAAGCUGGAAGAACUCAGUGGUCAAGCACCACCCAUGGGGACAAAAGGUAUAUGUAGACAUUACAGGUUAAGACCCUUUAUCAGGACUUUGUACAACUUCCAUCAUUCUGUUCUCUUCAUUCCAGAUUCCAGCAUCUGCAAACCCUUUUGUCUUCAGAUAAAAAAAUUCAUCCUCUGUCAUACGUGCUGAAAUUUAAAGUGCAUUAAACUUCCUAAGUUUGGGUCAUUGAUUUCAGAAAAGGAGUUCACUGUACCAUACUGCUUCCUGAGUUUAGACCAUAAAACAGGACAAAUCUAUUUAACAUGAUUUUGGAAGAAAUGCUGACCAAACAAGAACUUGAAUUUGUUUAUUGUAUCACUACCUAACAUGAUGUGAGAAUAAUGAUUGACCAUAGGAUUAGGCAUAAUUGUAGUACCUUUCAUUGUUGAACAGCCUAUUAACUAUCACUGUUUAAGCCUUUGUGUAAUAAGUAGCCAGUUAGCUAAAGAAUUGAACUCUUCAAAUGCAAUGGUCUCGUUCAAGACUUCAGACAAAGCAUUCUUGCAAUUGAAGGAAUAUGUUUGUGCUAUCAAAAGAUGAGGAAAAUUUAGUUACAAAAAUAUGGUCAAACAUGAAAACUGUGCCCCUUUUUGAAGUACUUCAUAGAUGAGGAAGGAAUGUGUCACCUGAGAACAGCUGAAUUGAAUUUCUGCUUCAGCUACAUCAGAACCAAUUCUCUUUUUGUUGAAUCAUGAAAUAUGUUGAGUGCCAAGAAAGUGAUGAAAUUGUCAAGGGAGCCACCAGAGAACCUCAGUGAUAUAAUGCUUCUACUAUGAUGUGAAAGAGGAUUCUGCAAAGAAAUCUCAUCAAAAGAAAUCCAGAACAAUCCAUGCACAGUACUCCAGUGAGAACCAGCUGGCAAUUGUGAGCACAGUCCUUCAGCUGCAGGAUUUGAUCUACUAUCAAACAAAGUUUUAACUAAAUUCCUGGCCCUAUUCUUCAUAAAAGUUCCAAAAGUUUAGUGAGUCAAUCACCCUUCUAUCAAUUCAAAGAGCAAUAGGAUACUUAAGCUUUUGGUUUGAGAAACAAGGAAUUGUGAGAAGUCUAAGAAAUGAAGCACAAGAGACUGGGGACAAGGAUGGAUGGAAGUGAGCCAAAACACUACUUCAGGAGCGAGAAGAUUGGAAAAAAAAAUCAAUUUCUCUUCUGAAAUUAGAGCACAAAAGAUCUGGUGAAGAAUUUUCUGGCUUCGGAUAAAUUUAAAUUGGCAUAUUUUCCAAUAUGUACCAGCCUCAAUCACAAACAGUUUCUCUCCAAGAUUUGUACACAGUGGAACUCCAUCCUUCUAUGGUUAAGGAAUUCUGAGAGAGACACUUUAUAAUAUUCUUUUGAACUAUUUUGUUGACACCUAGAAUGGUCAGCAAUAUAGAAGAAAGUGGCUUUUCAUCUUGAAGUUCAAACUUCUGAAAUCUCAAGAAUUACUGAAAGUCAUGCAUGAUAC
This is a long non-coding RNA of Pristis pectinata (smalltooth sawfish), 2620 nucleotides long. RefSeq lists it as uncharacterized. The record is from RefSeq and is a predicted model, not a curated record. Lineage: Eukaryota; Metazoa; Chordata; Chondrichthyes; Rhinopristiformes; Pristidae. The transcript is spliced from 3 exons.